CACAAAGGGUGAAGCCUGCGGUUCAAUUGGAGUCAACGCCGGGAAUCUUACCGGGGGCGACAGCAGAGUGAAGGUCAAGCUAAAGACUUUACCAGACAAGCUGAGAGGAGGUGCAUGGCCGUCGCCAGCUCGUGCCGUGAGGUGUCCUGUUAAGUCAGGU
RNAcentral lists this ribosomal RNA (160 nucleotides) under uncultured archaeon. RNAcentral describes it as "partial 16S ribosomal RNA". It matches the Rfam family "Archaeal small subunit ribosomal RNA", at positions 880 to 1039 of the family's 1478-position model. The record is from RNAcentral.